GAGUAGCGGCCAGUCGGACACCUGAGCUGCCGCUGCUGGACACAAGCCCGCAGGACAGGUAGUCAAUAUGCAUUUCCAGGGUGUUGGACUGUGCUUGGGUCUCCUGUUCAUCACGGCCAAGGCGGAUUUUGUGGAUGAUGGUGUUGAGGUGGAAGACUUCAGUGAGAGUUCAGACGAGAGUGAUUUUAAAGACGAACCUUCCUCGGGGACUAUUAAAUAUAAGACACCUCAACCUAUAGGAGAAGUAUAUUUUACAG
Molecule: long non-coding RNA, 257 nt
Filed under: Rattus norvegicus (Norway rat)
Lineage: Eukaryota; Metazoa; Chordata; Mammalia; Rodentia; Muridae
Description: long non-coding RNA NONRATT014104
Source: RNAcentral